CAGGCAAGAGACUUCUAAUCAAACAAAAAUACAGAGAAUUGAGUUUGAAUUGAACACUUGAUAUACAAUCAGUGGUGUUCACAAUACAAUACAGAAAAGACUCUAGACUUUGAAUUUCUAAGAUGUAUCAAAUCAGUGCAGAAAUUCAGUGUGCUUUGUAGUAUCAAAUUGACAGAGUUUUGGCGCUUUUGAACUUAUGUAUAUCUCUAUCUUAUCUUCAAGUCUUCACUCCUUUAUAUAGAGGCGUGAAAGAGACGUUGAGAUAAUCAGCACGUCUAAAGAGUCGUUUGAAAUCCUUUGAUUAUCCACCAGUGAUCCUUUGCCUGAUUUGGGUGUAGUCCUUUGAAGGAUAAACUUCAAAUUCAUUCCCAUCUUGAGUUGUACAAAUUCUGCAGGCAUGGCUGUUGUUUUGUCUUGUAGCGUAGACAGAAAACAGAGUAGUGGAGGUAGUGGUUGUACACUUGUACUUUGUCAACUCUAUUAAUGAGAGACAAGUGCUCAGUGCUUUCCAUAUAUCCGUUGAUACCUCCCUUUCAGUUCUUCGUUCUUCUUUGAUAAGACUGAAUUGAGAAUCAGCAACUUUGAAUCUUCAGUUUGAUUAAAGGAUCAAAUGUAGCUUCUGGUGAAAAUAUUGCUUCUGAUGAAAACUUUUGCUUCUGAUGACUUUCUGCUUCUGAUGACUUUCUGCUUCUGAUGACGUCAUCUCUUCAGGAGCAGUUUAGCUUCAGGAGCAGUUUAGCUUCAGGAGCAGUUUUCUUCAGAUGCUCAGAAUUUCUUUUUCUUUCCAUUGUUCUUCCAAGACCUAUUGAAAUAACUUGAGUAGCCUUUGGUCCUGUACACUUGAACAAUUAUUAGUAAUAACCAAUUGACAAUUUUUAAUACCUUGUUAUCAUCAAAACUUAAUAAGGUUCAUUGUGAAACACAUUUUGUUCCAAC
This 936-nucleotide long non-coding RNA is filed under the name Medicago truncatula (barrel medic). Its description in RNAcentral is "long non-coding RNA (MTRU_LNC008141)". Lineage: Eukaryota; Viridiplantae; Streptophyta; Magnoliopsida; Fabales; Fabaceae. The record is from RNAcentral.